CAAAAGGCUCUUUUCAGAGCCCCUCAGCUGUCACCAAGAAGGAGCUG
Molecule: non-coding RNA, 47 nt
Organism: Camelus ferus (Wild Bactrian camel)
Lineage: Eukaryota; Metazoa; Chordata; Mammalia; Artiodactyla; Camelidae
Source: Rfam